This 67-nucleotide transfer RNA is filed under the name Trichonephila clavata. RNAcentral describes it as "tRNA-Ile". The stretch from base 3 to 59 matches the Rfam family "tRNA", at positions 9 to 63 of the family's 71-position model. Rfam says of the family: Transfer RNA (tRNA) molecules are approximately 80 nucleotides in length. Their secondary structure includes four short double-helical elements and three loops (D, anti-codon, and T loops). The record is from RNAcentral. Lineage: Eukaryota; Metazoa; Arthropoda; Arachnida; Araneae; Nephilidae.
ACAGCGCGAUGAAUAGCGCGUUGGACUUAUAAUCCAAAGGUCGUGGGUUUGAAUCCUACCUGAGAUG